RNAcentral lists this ribosomal RNA (310 nucleotides) under uncultured eukaryote. RNAcentral's name for it is "partial large subunit ribosomal RNA". It matches the Rfam family "Eukaryotic large subunit ribosomal RNA", at positions 40 to 340 of the family's 3401-position model. The record is from RNAcentral.
AUAUUAUUAAGCGGAGGAAAAGAAACCAACAGGGAUUCCCUUAGUAAUGGCGAAUGAACUGGGAAUAGCUCAAAUUUGAAAUCGGGUUGGCACAAGCCAGUCCCGACGUGUAGUUUGAUGAGGCAAGUUCGGUGAUGGUCUGGGUUAAAGUCCCUUGGAAAAGGGCGUCAUAGAGGGUGAUAAUCCCGUCCAUGAUCCAUGAACCUAUUACCGUGUGAACUGCCGUCAAAGAGUCGAGUUGCUUGGGAGUGCAGCUCUAAUUGGGUGGUAAAUUCCAUCUAAAGCUAAAUAUUGGUGGGAGAGCCGAUAG